AGAGCGAACGCUGGCGGCAGGCUUAACACAUGCAAGUCGAGCGGGCGUAGCAAUACGUCAGCGGCAGACGGGUGAGUAACGCGUGGGAACGUACCUUUUGGUUCGGAACAACCCAGGGAAACUUGGGCUAAUACCGGAUAAGCCCUUACGGGGAAAGAUUUAUCGCCGAAAGAUCGGCCCGCGUCUGAUUAGCUAGUUGGUGAGGUAAUGGCUCACCAAGGCGACGAUCAGUAGCUGGUCUGAGAGGAUGAUCAGCCACACUGGGACUGAGACACGGCCCAGACUCCUACGGGAGGCAGCAGUGGGGAAUCUUGCGCAAUGGGCGAAAGCCUGACGCAGCAACGCCGCGUGAGGGACGAAGGCCUUCGGGUUGUAAACCUCUUUCAGCAGGGACGAUUGUGACGGUACCUGCAGAAGAACGCCCCGGCCAACGUACGCGCCAGCAGCCGC
RNAcentral lists this ribosomal RNA (450 nucleotides) under uncultured bacterium. Its description in RNAcentral is "SSU rRNA". It matches the Rfam family "Bacterial small subunit ribosomal RNA", at positions 26 to 518 of the family's 1533-position model. The record is from RNAcentral.